GAGUUAUGAUUUUUAGAUGGGUGCUAACAGGGGCCCAGUCUUGUGUUAAGAUGGGUGCUAACAGGGGCCCAGGUUGUUUAAGAAACGUAACCCUAGGUAGGGCAUAGUGGUGAUUGGCUGCGAGAACAGAUUUGGUUCCUUCCUUGUGUGGUUGCGUCGACUGUAGAUCCGAAUAAAUAAUUUGGUAGCUAUCAGCGGGACACAAUAAGGAGCUGUCUGAAUCACACUGGUUUGCCUUACGCUGGAGGUUAAGGGUAGGAUGGAUCUCAAGGUGAGAUCCUAGAUUUCACAUAAGUUAAAGAAUAGUAAUUGAAAUCAAGCGCCAUUAAUUAUUGCAUUGCCUUCCUUAUCUUGUUAUGUGUAAGUUAUGGGUUUCGGGUAGGUUUUGGCUACUAAGCGUCAUCGCUUACGGUACUAUGUUGCCCUGGUAACUCGAACGCCAGGUACGGAAGACGGAGCGAAAGUGCCGCUCGAGGAGACUAACUUUAACCCUGCUACAGACGGAGGCGAGGAACCCUGGUUGCCGUACGCUUAGAUGCUCUGGCAGAAAAUUUGGUCUUUAAUUUUGAAAGCUUAAAUGUUUAAAUUUGGAAAGUGUAAUAACUUGACUUGUUUGAAAACUUCAAACCUAAUUCGAUAUGGUUGUAAUAUUAUGACGUAUGCUUUUGGAACGUUUGACGCAGUAAAUCGGAUUUAUCUUUUGAGAAAUUGGUCUUUUGAUAUUUACUUAACGUUUCCGAAAUUCGGGGCGUUACAGUGUCCUUCGUUCAAAAGUAAUACCAUUGGUGAAGGUUCAAUGGCGUAAUCAUUCGGAAAGGGAAGCUACGUGGGAGACGGAGGAGUCUAUGCGAAAGAGUUAUCCGCAUUUGUUUGAACUUGGUGAGUAAUUUCGGGGACGAAAUUUCCUAAGAGGGGGAGGGUGUAACAUCCUUUUAUCUUUGAGGUGCUUAAAUGCUAAAUUUAAUAACUUAAGGGCUGGAGUGCAAUUUUUCUUUAAGACUGUGCAUGUGUGCCGUGUGUGUGUGCUGAUGUGUGUGGGUUUCUUUAAAACAAAGAAAGGAAAAAAAAAAGAAGAAGAAGAAAACCCAUCAGGAGGUUUUACGUUAGAGAGAGAGAGAGAGAGAGAGAGAGAGAGAGAGCAAUGGUGGAGGGAGAAGAAGGAGAAGAAGGAAGGAAGAGGGAAUUAAGGAUUAGAACUUGAAUUGAAGACCUUCUUUGGUUCGGAGGCGACAACGAGUACCACAGCUCCACGUAGGGAGUGACAGUGUUGGUUUUCUUUUUUGUUGGAGACCGAGUUUUGCUGGUAUAGGUCGGUGUCCACUACAGGUCGCGUUUUGCAUUUUGUGACUCGCUCGAGAAGUGCGUAGUUGAGGCCUGUGGGAGUCCUUGUCUCCUGGCCCGUAGAUGAUUUUUGCUUAGUUUAGUUUUGGAUAUUAGUUGGUUAUUUUUUAUUUCUUGACAGACUUCCGCUGUAGUUUGUCAAUGACAAUCAUUUUUGAGAUGUAAAUAAAAUGUGGCUGUUAAACUUCAA
Molecule: long non-coding RNA, 1531 nt
Organism: Rhododendron vialii
Lineage: Eukaryota; Viridiplantae; Streptophyta; Magnoliopsida; Ericales; Ericaceae
Exons: 3
Source: RefSeq, a predicted model, not a curated record